RNAcentral lists this ribosomal RNA (861 nucleotides) under Triticum aestivum (bread wheat). Its description in RNAcentral is "partial small subunit ribosomal RNA". Lineage: Eukaryota; Viridiplantae; Streptophyta; Magnoliopsida; Poales; Poaceae. The record is from RNAcentral.
AUGGCCGCGCAGAUGAGCCCGCUCCGCCGGUGGAAGCGCUUCUUCGGCGCCUUCGACUCCGUCGACGCGGCCAUCGAGACCGCCGACCCUGACAUGUGCCGCGACGAGCUCCGGCGCGCCAGGGGCGACAUCUUUGAAGGGCUCUGCAACACCGCCGACGACGGCAAGGCGGAGAAGCUCUGCGGGGUUCUCGACGGCUUGAUGGCAGAGUCCCUCGAGACGCUGCGGUUGACUCUCGUGACGCCGAAGGUGCUCGCCACCACGGACCUCGCCAAGGCCGUCCGUGCGCUGUGGAAGCACGAGUCCGAGCGGGUCCGCGCCCUCGCCAGAGGCAUCAUGAGCGGGUGGAGGGCGUCCGCCCUGCACGACUUCGCCGGAGAGCCGGACAACUUCAACGCGCCUCAGCCCAAGGAGACCGUCGAGCAGCAGCGUGUCUGCGCAACGACGACGGAGCGGCCUUCCUCCAUCGAGAUCGCCGGUCACGAUCAGCAGCAUGCCUCGGCCGAUCUUGACGCGAAGAAGAAGAAGACGGUGGAGAUCAGCAGCAAGGCGUCCGAUCUCGUCGGCGGCAUCAACAUGGCGAAGCCCAAGGAGGUCACCGUCGGUCAGCAUGUCAAUGUCUCGGCCGAUCCAGACGCGAAGGCAAUGGAGGCCGCAAAGCGCAAACUCCAUGAGAGGUACCAGCAAGCAUCGGACGCGAAGCGGCAGCGCAGGGUGCAGGUCGUGGAGUCGCCGGAGAUGCUCAAGCAGAGGCAGAGGAAGAUGCACCCCAUCCUGAGGGAGAGGAGCCUGGCGAGGUGCGCCAGCUCCAUGGUCAAGAAGACGUUUUCGGUCACGAGGCAGUUUCCCAUGGGCAGUUGA